Molecule: small RNA, 549 nt
Filed under: Pongo abelii (Sumatran orangutan)
Lineage: Eukaryota; Metazoa; Chordata; Mammalia; Primates; Hominidae
Description: retained intron
Source: RNAcentral
CAUUGCUCCAAGAUGGCGGCGGCGGCGGCAGCGGGAGCGCAGCUCAGCUGGGCUGGAACUGCCCUCCUGGAACUCCCCCAGCCUGCAACCUAGGAGGUGCAGGGACUGAGGCUCAGGCCAAAUCACAACUCAGACCUGGUGAACCCAAGGCCUGAAGAGAAUUUGGAUUCAUUUACAUUGUUUUGUGGGGACUGGAGAGACAAGUAAACUCUCAGCUUAACUGUCCCCUCCCGGUCUGACUACCAUUUCUAAGGCAAGCCCCCUGUUUCUACUCUUGCGCCCCCUGCUGGUUUCCUGCCCUAUCUGUAAGUUGCAUGGCUUUUGUCCGUCUUUUUUUUUUUUUUUUUUUUUUUGAGACAGGGUCUCACCCAGGCUGGAGUGAAAUGAAGCAAUCUCGGCUCACUGCAACCUCCACCUCCCAAGUUCAAGCGAUUCUCACACCUCAGCCUCCCCAAUAGCUGGGAUUACAGGUGUGCACCACCAUGCCCAGCUAAUCUUUGUAUUUUUUGGUAGAGAGGGGGUUUCACCAUAUUGCCCACACUGGUCUCU